GACGAACGCUGGCGGCGUGCUUAACACAUGCAAGUCGAACGGAAAGGCCCUGCUUUUGUGGGGUGCUCGAGUGGCGAACGGGUGAGUAACACGUGAGUAACCUGCCCUUGACUUUGGGAUAACUUCAGGAAACUGGGGCUAAUACCGGAUAGGAGCUCCUGCUGCAUGGUGGGGGUUGGAAAGUUUCGGCGGUUGGGGAUGGACUCGCGGCUUAUCAGCUUGUUGGUGGGGUAGUGGCUUACCAAGGCUUUGACGGGUAGCCGGCCUGAGAGGGUGAACGGCCACAUGGGGACUGAGAGACGGACCAGACUGCUACGGGAGGCAGCAGUGGGGAAUAUUGCACAAUGGGCGGAAGCCUGAUGCAGCAACGCCGCGUGCGGGAUGACGGCCUUCGGGUUGUAAACCGCUUUCGCCUGUGACGAAGCGUGAGUGACGGUAAUGGGUAAAGAAGCACCGGCUAACUACGUG
Molecule: ribosomal RNA, 468 nt
Filed under: uncultured bacterium
Lineage: Bacteria
Description: partial 16S ribosomal RNA
Rfam family: Bacterial small subunit ribosomal RNA
Source: RNAcentral